UACGGAGGGGGCUAGCGUUGUUCGGAAUUACUGGGCGUAAAGCGCACGUAGGCGGAACAGAAAGUCAGAGGUGAAAUCCCAGGGCUCAACCUUGGAACUGCCUUUGAAACUCCUGUUCUUGAGGUCGAGAGAGGUGAGUGGAAUUCCGAGUGUAGAGGCGAAAUUCGUAGAUAUUCGGAGGAACACCAGUGGCGAAGGCGGCUCACUGGCUCGAUACUGACGCUGAGGUGCGAAAGUGUGGGGAGCAAACAGG
RNAcentral lists this ribosomal RNA (253 nucleotides) under uncultured bacterium. RNAcentral's name for it is "partial 16S ribosomal RNA". It matches the Rfam family "Bacterial small subunit ribosomal RNA", at positions 524 to 776 of the family's 1533-position model. The record is from RNAcentral.